GGUGGGUUGUCCGAGUGGCCGAAGGAGCACGCCUGGAAAGCGUGUAUGUCGAAAGGCAUCAAGAGUUCGAAUCUCUUACCCACCGCCA
Molecule: transfer RNA, 88 nt
Filed under: Marinomonas vulgaris
Lineage: Bacteria; Pseudomonadati; Pseudomonadota; Gammaproteobacteria; Oceanospirillales; Oceanospirillaceae
Also listed under: 1 other name
Description: Marinomonas sp. A79 tRNA-Ser
Rfam family: tRNA
About the family: Transfer RNA (tRNA) molecules are approximately 80 nucleotides in length.
Source: RNAcentral